AAAAUCAUGGAUAUGUUUAAGUGAUUUGGAAGUCUUUACCCUAUUCUUUCAGUAUUUUACUCUAGAUAUUUGGAAUCCUAAGAUAUUUUGAAAUUUGGUCCCUUUAAGUUUGAGAUUACGAGGUUUGACUGUGUAUAUAUAUGUAUAUAUAUGUAUUUAAUCUUAUAGAUGCAUGGACAAGCAGUAUUUAAUGUUACAGAAGCAGGAACAAGCAGUAUUUAAUCUUACAGAUGCAUGGACAAGCAGUAUUUAAUCUUACAGAUGCAGGGACAAGCAGUAGCCAACCUUACAGAAGCAGGGACAAGCAGUAUUUAAUCUUACAGAUGCAGGGACAAGCAGUAUUUAAUCUUACAGAUGCAUGGACAAGCAGUUUUUAAUCUUACAGAUGCAUGGACAAGCAGUAUUUAAUGUUACAGAUGCAUGGACAAGCAGUUUUUAAUCUUACAGAUGCAGGGACAAGCAGUAUUUAAUGUUACAGAUGCAUGGACAAGCAGUAUUUAAUCUUACAGAAGCAGGGACAAGCAGUAUUGAAUGUUACAGAUGCAGGGACAAGCAGUAUUUAAUCUUACAGAUGUAUGGACAAGCAGUAUUUAAUCUUACAGAUGCAGGGACAAACAGUAGCCAACCUUACAGAAGCAGUGAUAAGCAGUAUUUUGUCUUACAGAUGCAUGGACAAGCAGUAUUUAAUUUUACAGAUGCAGGGACAAGCAGUAUUUAAUCUUACAGUUGCAUGGGCAAGCAGUAUUUAAUCUUACAGAUGCAUGGACAAGCAGUAUUUAAUCUUACAGAUGCAGGGACAAGCAGUAUUUAAUCUUACAGAUGCAGGGACAAGCAGUAGCCAACCUUACAAAAGCAGUGAUAAGCAGUAUUUUGUCUUACAGAUGCAUGGACAAGCAGUAUUUAAUGUUACAGAUGCAGGGACAAGCAGUAUUUAAUGUUACAGAUGCAAGGACAAGCAGUAUUUAAUCUUACAGAUGCAGGGACAAGCCGUAUUUGAAGUUACAGAUGCAGGGACAAGCAGUAUUUAUUCUUACAGAUGCAGGGACAAGCAGUAACCAACCUUACAGAAGUAGUGUUUUAUCUUACAGAUGCAGGGACAAGCAGUAUUUAUUCUUACAGAUGCAGGGACAAGCAGUAUUUAAUCUUACAGAUGCAUGGGCAAGCAGUAUUUAAUCUUACGGAUGCAGGAACAAGCAUUAUUUAAUCUUAUGGAUGCAGGGACAAGCAGUAUUUAAUCUUAUGGAUGCAGGGACAAACAGUAUUUAAUCUUAUGGAUGCAGGGACAAGCAGUACAGUAACCAUAAUCCUACUGAAGCAGGGACAAGCAGCACUUAAUCCUACAGAAGCAGGGACAAGCAGCACUUAAUCCUACAGAAGCAGGGACAAGCAGCACUUAAUCCUACAGAAGCAGGGACAAGCAGUACUUAAUCCUACAGAAGCAGGGACAAGCAGCACUUAAUCCUACAGAAGCAGGGACAAGCAGCAGCAAUCCUAAAGAAGUGGUAGCCAAUCCGAAGAUUAAGAUGAGUGUAAGCAAGAGUACAGAAAUCUAAAAAGGGUAGAGAGUUAUACUGGAAACCAUGUUUCAGAGCAGACUGUCAUGAUUCAACUAGAGUGCCAGGAGUAAGGAUGAACAGUGGCCUAACCUAGAAGUGAGGAGUAUUAGAUUGUCCACCAUCACCAGUUUUACAUUGUCCAGUUAGACAGAAAAAAGUCCAGACCAGAAGGAUUUACUGCGACAACCAACCAUGCUAGGGGCAAGAGGUUGGAUUGCCUAGACCCUGCAGUGAAGAAGAGUGUAAACUGAGGCCUACCUUGAAAGAUA
Molecule: long non-coding RNA, 1825 nt
Organism: Saccostrea echinata
Lineage: Eukaryota; Metazoa; Mollusca; Bivalvia; Ostreida; Ostreidae
Exons: 4
Source: RefSeq, a predicted model, not a curated record